RNAcentral lists this ribosomal RNA (254 nucleotides) under uncultured prokaryote. RNAcentral's name for it is "partial 16S ribosomal RNA". It matches the Rfam family "Bacterial small subunit ribosomal RNA", at positions 524 to 777 of the family's 1533-position model. The record is from RNAcentral.
UACGGAGGAUGCAAGCGUUAUCCGGAUUUAUUGGGUUUAAAGGGUGCGCAGGUGGUUUAAUAAGUCAGUGGUGAAAGUCUGUCGCUUAACGGUAGGAUUGCCAUUGAUACUGUUGGACUUGAAUAUGGAUGAUGUAGGCGGAAUGUGUAGUGUAGCGGUGAAAUGCAUAGAUAUUACACAGAACACCGAUUGCGAAGGCAGCUUACUAAUCCAUCAUUGACGCUGAGGCACGAAAGCGUGGGGAUCAAACAGGA